AGUCCCGCACUGUCGGUCACUGCAGUGCACGCCUGGGUGUGCCGUUUCACCGCCAUGUGGGGCCAGCUACGCAGAAUCUCCAUCUACCUUCCCUCAACAGACUCUCGCGCCUGCGACCGAUUCUUUCCCAUCGGCGCGAUUGCUGGGCAGGUCCCCCUCCUGGCGAUCCGAAGUACUCGCGCCCAACCUCCUUCUGCCCGAGGUAUAAGACCGACCUCCCCUUCCUUCGUCCAUCCGUUCGUGGUGCGCCAUUGCAGGGAGGAAUCAGAGAGAGAGAAAGAAAUCGAGGUGAGAGAAUGAGGGGAUCAACAAAUUGGGGGGGAGAGUCCCCGGACCCGCGUGCGUCCUUCACCGGAGUCCACGCAACCGUUGGCACCCUCAUCGUGUGGAGUUGCGGUCGGUCCUAGGGUCAAUUGCUCGCCGAUAAUUGUGAGCACCGCGGAAACACAACCUGCCGCGGUCGACUCAUGCUUGCAGCGCCACCCCACCGUCGGCGGAUGGCCAGGGUCAACCCCUGGAGUUCAAGGAGCAUCUUUGUGGCUGUUGCGGGAGCGAUGGACAACCAUGGAGACUGGGAUUCUCCACCGCGGAUUCAUGGAUGCGGCUGACCCUCGCUUCACCGGGGACCUGGUGGCUCUGUGCAUAAAUUUUCGCGCGAGGUCACGAGUCACCUGAAGAUCAUCCUGGUACCUGAAAUCUCAAGUCACAGACAAGUUGUGCCCUUGAUCACUUUUUACCUAAUAAUAUUCUUUAUAAUCAUUUAUUCAUGCAUAGGUUUAAUUUUUAUGGGACCCAAUAGGUCACCCUAGUCUGCUUAUCUUGUUACCUUGUUUAUCCCUGAAUUAUUUGGGUAGUUUUUGCUAUUGCUUUAUAUGGUUUGGGGAUUAAUAUUACAUUAUGUCCAUGUUCCAAUUAUUCUGUUACUUUAUUUAUGUUCAUGUCAAGAUCAUUAUAUUUUUAAUUGGAACAAGGAGCUUAACUUGAGAAACACGUGCCACCACAAGGGUGGAAUGAGACGCCCUUGGCUGACUAACUAGGAAAGCUAGUGGAAGACUACCUUACCCGAAAGGGGCAAGGGCAGUAGGGGAGUUGCAUGCAGGGAGGUUCUCGGGUUGAUUUUGCUGCGAUGGCGGUCAGACGAGGGAUUCCUGCAAGUGCUCUUCCCAUAAACUGUAGCGGGUUUUUAGAAGCUAGUGGAACUUUGUAAAGGCCUCGUAGUGGAUCCCUAGUCAUUCACCUCGGUUGUGUCUAAGGGUCUAGCUAACCCUAACGACAUGGGAUACACGACUUGUGGGUAUAGGGUACAACCUCUGCAGAGUGUAAAACUGGUAUACUAGCCGAGCUCACGGUCAAGAGUAGCUCAAGACUCUCGCAUGAUUAAAUUAUGGAACUAAAUUCAAUUAGUCAUUUGCAUUGCAUGUGUUAUUAAUUUUGUUCUAUUAUUAUUAUGGUUGAUAUUUACUUACAUUUAGUAACUGCUAAUAAAAUUUUGACCAACUUUAAAAGCAAUGCUCAGCUUUAACCAUCCUCUUUGGUAAGCCUUACACUUCACAUGAGCUCCCACCUUUGGCGAGUUCAUGCAUAUUAUUCCCCACAACUUGUUGAGCUAUGAACGUAUGUGAGCUCACCCUUGCUGUCUCACACCCCCUCCCCACAGGUCAAGGACAGAUACCAUAGGAUGAGGCGCAUGGUGGAUGCAGCAAGGUGUUCAUGAGAGAUCUAGGUCGUCGUCUCCCAGUCAACUUUGGGUUGCUGGAUCGUUGUCUCCUUACGAUGUAAUUAUUUAUUUAUGUUCUCCUAUUGUAUAAUAAAGUUGUGACAUUCGUUUCUGUACCACUAUUCAUCAUAUGUGUGAGACUUGGUCCCAGCACACCUGAUGUUUAUGUUCGCGCCCGGGUUCCUAAAACCUGGGUGUGACAUCAAGACGUCCUUAAGUCACAUUAUAUAGAGUAUCCAUUGAAAACCCAUUUCUUC
Molecule: long non-coding RNA, 1974 nt
Organism: Zea mays
Lineage: Eukaryota; Viridiplantae; Streptophyta; Magnoliopsida; Poales; Poaceae
Exons: 2
Source: RefSeq, a predicted model, not a curated record